GAAAUGGUGGUGUCCAAUGAUGUCUCCACGCAGCUGGACUUUUUCUUGGAUGCUCUUUUGGUUGACAUUGAAUCCACAGAGAUUUCUGGCUUCAUGGAUGGCCAAACACUGAGCAUCCAGAGAUGCUUCUGUGGUUGUCUGUCCUGGCUAAAGACUCCCAAAUAAUAUUAGAGUUUGGAGAUGAAGGUUAAUGGACUGAUGGUGAUGGAAAAGAUAGCUCAGAGAUAUUUCAAGCAGGCUGCAAGAAUCUCCCAAUUUCGUCCAUCACAAAUCCAUCGUUGAUCCUGGAUGCAGGCUUCAGCUGGCAAAGGAAAGGAAAUACAGAGUUCAAAGCAAGUUUUAUUGUUAAGAUUACAUAGCAUCCUUCGGUUCUCCAAUUUGACUCUGGGAAGCUCUGUUCCCAAGCUACCAAGUGUCUGAGACUACACCUACUUGCUCAAUAGCUUAUCAUGACUAAUGACCAUGGAUGAUGUCCCUGAAGACAAGAGUUAAGACCAAAGGAAGACCUAUAACAUGGAAGAUCAUGAUCCAUCUGCACUCUUGGUGAGAGAAGCAAAGAAGUUAUCUUAGAAAGAAAAUAAUUGAAGCUACUAUCAUGUAGUAGAUGUGCACGGGUCGUGAGUAGUUUGACUUUACAAUUUUCUCUUUCUAG
Molecule: long non-coding RNA, 652 nt
Filed under: Homo sapiens (human)
Lineage: Eukaryota; Metazoa; Chordata; Mammalia; Primates; Hominidae
Description: HSALNT0204360
Source: RNAcentral